This 1446-nucleotide small RNA is filed under the name Olea europaea subsp. europaea. Lineage: Eukaryota; Viridiplantae; Streptophyta; Magnoliopsida; Lamiales; Oleaceae. The record is from RNAcentral.
UCUGGAUUUUCAGUACAGAAUCUUACUUUUUUAGGCAGUAAGCAAAAGAGGUAAGUGUAACGUACCUGUUUUAAGCUUAACCAAACGUGCUGAAAAAGUGUGACGUUUGCAGCUAUAUAUAUAGUGUUCAAGCUGUCCUGAGCUUCUUUGACCAUCUUCAGGGUGGCUCUUCAAUUUGUGCAUGAGAUGCAACACAAAGCACAGAAGAACUUUGAUGCAAGUAGAGAUGAAUCGUUACCAGUAUUUGGGGUUGGUGUUGCUUAUAUUGAUGAGAGAGCAAUUUUUACAGUCCCUUCUCAUGAUUUUGAUAGAGCCAUUGAUGAGAUGAAACUGAUUGUGUCUAAUUUAGCUCCACCAGUAAAACACUUCCAUAUUCUUCCAACUGAAAGUAUUUAUUCAUCUGAUACUGGUGCUAGGAGGCUAAGAUUGAUGGAAUUAAUAAAUGCUGUUAGCGACGUCACUGGAAAAGAAGACCUUCUGGAGCAUCUGCGCAUGUUAUCUUUGCAGAAGGUUUGAUUUUGUAUUUUUUCCUGCUUAAUUAAGCAUUAGAUUAGGGAAAAGACAUGUACUUUUAGAUUAUGCUGUCCACGUAGUGCAGAUUGCUGUUGAUAAUGGAUACACCAAGCGGUCCAAGCCCGUGCUAGGAACAUGCACAUCACGGAUAGCUUGCCAUGUCCUCGAAGCCACUGUAAAGGUUUAUUCCUCCUCCUUACACCUAACUUCCCAAACAAUGAUUAAAUAAAUGUACAGAUACAUAAUGAUGUACAUAAAAGAAUAAAUGACAAUAAGCCCUUGUUUGAGCCCCAUUUUGAAGAAAAAAUGUAUUUUUGAAUAGUGAGUUUUUAGAGAAUCUAUGGUUAGAAAGUAAAAAUAAAUAAAUUCAAUUUACGUAUAGAAUUAUUUUAUUGGAGGAUGUGUGGUUGAAAAUGAGUUUUGAAAAAAUGAAUUUUUGGAAAAAUGGGGGUCAAACAAGAGCUAAAGCAAGAAAAGAAAUUUUUUUGGCAAAAUGAUCAUUUCUGUUAGCUAGACUGGAUAAUCGCCUUCAAUUUGUGUUCUUGUAUUACUAUUCGGUUCAAUGGAUGUUGUCAGGAGAAAAACUUGGUCAAAAUGCAGUAGCUAACGCCAGAAAGCUUAAUUACAUAUAUGUCUAAAGCUAUCACAGUAUAAAAACGAAAUAUUCUUUUGUUGAUGCUAGGUGGGAGAUGCCAGUGGUUCUUCCGCUACGUGAUUGUAUCUCUUAAGAGCUGAGUCUGCUUUGCAGUCUCGACAAGUUUGUUGCACAAACAUGCUACAGAUCUUUCCUCUUCCUUGGGGAGGCUGUUUAGUUAGAUUUUGUGUCAUUUUUCAUUUCUUUUUAUUAUGAUGCUGUAAUGAUUACUUCAUGAUAGGACUUACUUUAUUUUGUGAGGGCAGUUUGAAGAAGGUAGAAACAUUUCAGCUACCUCG